GCAAGCGUUUUAUAGUGGUUAGCGCGUGGGCCUUUUACACCUCGUCUGAGGAACAAAAGGUAGCCCAAGGUUGAGAGUUCGAGCCUCUCGUCGGGCG
This is a non-coding RNA of Hyaloscypha bicolor E, 97 nucleotides long. The record is from the annotation of a RefSeq genome assembly. NCBI's taxonomy places the organism in Eukaryota, Fungi, Ascomycota, Leotiomycetes, Helotiales, Hyaloscyphaceae.